This 264-nucleotide unclassified non-coding RNA is filed under the name plant metagenome. RNAcentral describes it as "partial contains small subunit ribosomal RNA, internal transcribed spacer 1, and 5.8S ribosomal RNA". The record is from RNAcentral.
GUAGGUGAACCUGCGGAAGGAUCAUUAAUGAGUUGUCAUGGGGUUCGAUGCUGGCAGCCAAUUCUUGGAUGCAUGUGCUUGCCCUAACAAUCAUCUUCCAAACACCUGUGCACAUUUUUGAGGGAGUCUUGAGUUGGUUGCCGCUCUUGGGUGAUUUUCUCACAUUCCCUUAAAUCAUUAUACGCUAUUAACAAUGUUGAACGUGCUCUGUGCCGCAAGGCUAUUAAUAUAAUACAACUUUUAACAACGGAUCUCUUGGCUCUC